UGCCUACGGGACGCAGCAGUGGGGAAUAUUGGGCAAUGGGGGAAACCCUGACCCAGCGACGCCGCGUGAGGGAAGAAGGUUUUCGGAUUGUAAACCUCUGUCCUUGGUGACGAUAAUGACGGUAGCCAAGGAGGAAGCCACGGCUAACUACGUGCCAGCAGCCGCGGUAAUACGUAGGUGGCGAGCGUUGUCCGGAAUUACUGGGUGUAAAGGGAGCGUAGACGGCUGUGCAAGUCUGAAGUGAAAUGCCGGGGCUCAACCCCGGAACUGCUUUGGAAACUGUACAGCUAGAGUGCAGGAGGGGG
RNAcentral lists this ribosomal RNA (305 nucleotides) under uncultured bacterium. Its description in RNAcentral is "bacterial SSU rRNA". It matches the Rfam family "Bacterial small subunit ribosomal RNA", at positions 335 to 658 of the family's 1533-position model. The record is from RNAcentral.